AGAAGGACCACAGCCAUCGCCCGUCUCCCAUCUCCAAGAUGGCGGAGGCAGCUUCAACUUCAACCUCUCGCGAGGAAUUCGUUCCCCUGUCUCUGAUUAGCACCGAGGUCAGAGGUAUCCCAUGGCUGGUGAGAGCCCGGGUGCCGCAGCGGAGGGGGUGAGAAGCUCCGCCCCAGCCCCGCCCAGUGUCCCCCGCUGGGCCUGCAGGCAGCGAUUCUCACUCCGGUGCCUAACUCCUUGCUGCGCGCCCCUCUCCUGUGUAGAUCACAGCCUGCCUGGAAGCCUGGAUAGAGGGCUGUUGAGGAUUUCACGUCUCUUACACCCUCUCCCCGCCGCCUUUGAAUGCUGGUUGUUUCUCCAGGGUUCCAGCUUCUGCCCGCCCCUCCCUCCGAGCACUCUGCCGCUUUGUUUAAUCAAAUGCCGUAAUUCCCAAAACCUUAACAUUUCUUAACGUAAAUCUGUUAAUGCCUUUGG
Long non-coding RNA from Manis pentadactyla (Chinese pangolin), 474 nucleotides. RefSeq lists it as uncharacterized. The transcript is spliced from 2 exons. Lineage: Eukaryota; Metazoa; Chordata; Mammalia; Pholidota; Manidae. The record is from RefSeq and is a predicted model, not a curated record.